Non-coding RNA from Cinara cedri, 1331 nucleotides. The record is from the annotation of a GenBank genome assembly. Lineage: Eukaryota; Metazoa; Arthropoda; Insecta; Hemiptera; Aphididae.
CGGACGGUGCGAGAAAUAACGUUUUGUCGAAUUCCCCUUUAAAUUUUAAGCAGAUCCAAUACGCGACGUUAUCACUUUCGAUUCCCAGUGUCGUGGUGGCGAACGUAUUGGUUUUAGAGAGAUGUAUUUUUUUUUUUUUUUUAUACAUACAGAUACGUAUACGUACAUACCGAGUACGAAAAUUCUACCGAAAAUCUUGCUGCUGCGAAGCGUCGGGUAAGCGACCAUUCUUGAAAAGGAACUAUUCUGAGACGGUGCUUACGGGAGAUAGUUUUUUUUUGUUUUCCCGGAAGUUUUCCCAAGAAACGAGAAAAACCACAGGACAAUGUGCGAAAUGUAUUAUUUGAAAAUCCUAAAUAUUACAGCCUUUUUUUUUCUGCCAGAACUUUUCUACCAGAAAUUUCGCUCCUAUUGACAAUGAAAUAAUUUUUGUCUGAAAGUGAAAUCUGACAGUGGUAGUACUUUGGGGAGGUUAUGUUUUGAUGUUUUUCGUGAGUUUUUCAAAUAAAUGAGAAAAAACAUAGGAAAAACUUGGAAAAUCGGAAAAAUAGAUGCAAUUGGAAAUAAAUAUUAUUAAAGAAAUUAUAUAAUGCAUAUAUAAUUAUUUUACCAUAAUUUGACAUACGAAUUGUUGACAAAAGUAACAAUAUUAACCGAACUCCACUCAGAAUCGUUUUUCGUUUGAAAUGUUUAACGGAUGGGAACAGACUAUAGAUAUAUAUAUUUGAUUUCCCCUAUAACUUCCCAAUUUCUUACCUACAACAUUGGUCCACGUGCGAAAUAUGUCCGUCUUUAUUUUUUUUUUCAUCUUAUUUUUGAAACCAUCUUUAAUACAUUUUACUUAUCAAACGGCAAUCUAUAUUGAAAUGCAAUAAAUAUUUAAUAUUUUAGCUGUAAAUACAUUUGGGGAUUGACAUUUUUAAUUUUCGUCAAAACUUUGAGGAAAUAUUCCACUUUUAAGUUAGUAAUUGUGUGGGACGGACUAGAGAGAGGGUAAUGGAGUCGGAGCGUUUUUAAAGUUUUUUUUUUUUUUAUAUUGCUUUAAUUAUCUUUAGUAGUUUUGACGUCGUGUCUCACAACCGAUUCUCCAACUAUCCAUUGCCAAAUCGUUCGAGUAUAGUUCGCCCCUAACGCUCCCGCGUUUUUUUUACUUCGUCCUCAUCCACGGCCAUCCAUCAAAGGUCAUUUCACUAUUGCGUCGUAUUGUAACACUGUCCAUAAUAGUAAUAGUAGGCUUAGGUUCCAGCCCACCGCAGUCUUCCUUUAUUGACGAACUCUAAAAUAUUCUUUUCUCCGAACUUUUCUUUACUUUUUUCAAACCCAGAAUUUGU